Bombus impatiens (common eastern bumble bee) is the source of this 345-nucleotide long non-coding RNA. RefSeq lists it as uncharacterized. The transcript has 2 exons. Lineage: Eukaryota; Metazoa; Arthropoda; Insecta; Hymenoptera; Apidae. The record is from RefSeq and is a predicted model, not a curated record.
ACGUAAAACGUGAGUAUUAGACACACCGCGUGCUGUUUCGUGUCGCUGCAAAGUAAAACUAUGAGAAAGUGAAAAAAAAAGAGAAAUAUUGGAAUUUAAAAAAAAAGAAACAAUCUCGAAAUGAAUAUUGAAACUGACUUACAUUUGAUACAUAACGAAAAAACGUACCUGUAACCAUACUCUCGUAGAAGAAUUCCUAGGAUGGGUGGAAGAAAUAUUGAACCUAAUGCACUACCAGAUAUGCAGAGCCCAUUUGCAAGUCCACGUAACCGUACAAAGUAUGAAGUUACUAUAUACACAGUUGGGGGAAAAGAUAACCCUGCUCCAGUUCCUACCAGAACACCA